ACCAGACUCCUACGGGAGGCAGCAGUGGGGGAUAUUGGACAAUGGGGGGAACCCUGAUCCAGCGACGCCGCGUGAGUGAAGAAGUAUUUCGGUAUGUAAAGCUCUGUCAGCAGGGAAGAAAGAAAUGACGGUACCUGACCAAGAAGCCCCAGCUAACUACGUGCCAGCAGCCGCGGUAAUACGUAGGGGGCAAGCGUUAUCCGGAUUUACUGGGUGUAAAGGGAGCGCAGACGGCAGUGCAAGUCUGGAGUGAAAGCCCGGGGCCCAACCCCGGAACUGCUCUGGAAACUGUGCGGCUAGAGUACUGGAGGGGCAGGCGGAAUUCCUAGUGUAGCGGUGAAAUGCGUAGAUAUUAGGAGGAACACCAGUGGCGAAGGCGGCCUGCUGGACAGUAACUGACGUUGAGGCUCGAAAGCGUGGGGAGCAAACAGGAUUAGAUACCCUUGUAUU
RNAcentral lists this ribosomal RNA (450 nucleotides) under uncultured bacterium. RNAcentral's name for it is "bacterial SSU rRNA". It matches the Rfam family "Bacterial small subunit ribosomal RNA", at positions 330 to 794 of the family's 1533-position model. The record is from RNAcentral.